This 562-nucleotide long non-coding RNA is filed under the name Homo sapiens (human). RNAcentral's name for it is "HSALNT0026712". Lineage: Eukaryota; Metazoa; Chordata; Mammalia; Primates; Hominidae. The record is from RNAcentral.
CAUGUGCUCUCUUUCCUGCCCCUCUCAGCUCUGGAAAUAUUUCUGGGAACGCAGAAUGCCAGCCUAAUCCAUCUGGAAACCUUAGAUUAGGAAGAAAAAAAAAAACAAAACAGGAUCAUGUCUUAUUUCAACUUUCAAAUGUUUUGAGGAAAGUGCCAAGAGAAGGGGCAGAAAGAAGAGAAACAAAGAAGAGAAGUGAGAGGAGGAGAUGAAGAAGAAAGAGGAGACACAAUUAGUUGAACUAUGUUUAGCAGUAGAUUCACUCUAGAAGAUUCAUUCUGAUGGCUGAAACUUCCAGAACAUGGAUAACGUUUCAAGACACUGACAUGAUGGGGAAUAUUAAUUUGAAUGUGCUAUUUUCCUAUGAUAGCAUUUUAAGACGCGCCACUUUUACUCAAGAGAAGAAAAUUAAAUUUUAAGUAAUUCAUAUUAAGCAAGCAAAUCAAGGAUUUUCAGCUGGUUUAGUGAUUCUCUCUCACCCUUUCUCCUCUGAGUUGGUGUAAGUUCUCCAGCACCAAAGCACUGAGAAGGAAAGUGCUGGGUUCUCAGUGCUCAGCAUCUG